RNAcentral lists this ribosomal RNA (301 nucleotides) under uncultured bacterium. RNAcentral's name for it is "partial 16S ribosomal RNA". It matches the Rfam family "Bacterial small subunit ribosomal RNA", at positions 509 to 807 of the family's 1533-position model. The record is from RNAcentral.
CAGUAGCCGCGGGAAAACGGAGGGUGCAAGCGUUAAUCGGAAUCACUGGGCGUAAAGCGCACGCAGGCGGUUUGUUAAGUCAGAUGUGAAAUCCCCGUGCUUAACUUGGGAACUGCAUUUGAAACUGGCAAGCUAGAGUCUUGUAGAGGGGGGUAGAAUUCCAGGUGUAGCGGUGAAAUGCGUAGAGAUCUGGAGGAAUACCGGUGGCGAAGGCGGCCCCCUGGACAAAGACUGACGCUCAGGCGCGAAAGCGUGGGGAGCAAACAGGAUUAGAUACCCCUGUAGUCCCUGUCUCUUAUAC